RNAcentral lists this ribosomal RNA (2985 nucleotides) under Triticum aestivum (bread wheat). RNAcentral's name for it is "partial small subunit ribosomal RNA". Lineage: Eukaryota; Viridiplantae; Streptophyta; Magnoliopsida; Poales; Poaceae. The record is from RNAcentral.
AUGUCGACCUUCGCCAAGCCUGAGAACGCUCUCAAGAGAGCGGAGGAGUUGAUACAUGUUGGACAAAAGCAGGCAGCGCUGCAGGCACUGCAUGAUCUCAUUACAUCAAGAAGAUACAAGUCAUGGCAAAAGCCUCUUGAGAAGAUCAUGAUGAAGUAUGUAGAGCUGUGUGUAGAUCUAAGGCAAGGCAGAUUUGCCAAAGAUGGUCUUAUUCAGUACAGAAUUGUCUGCCAGCAAGUCAACGUGUCAUCUUUGGAGGAGGUCAUAAAACACUUUAUGCAGCUGUCCAAUGAGAAAGCCGAGGAAGCCAGGAAUCGGGCACAAGCACUGGAAGAUGCUCUGGAUGUCGUAGAUCUUGAAGCGGACAAGCGUCCAGAGGACUUGAUGCUCAGUUAUGUCAGGGGGGAGAAAGGGAAAGAACGAUCUGACAGGGAGUUUGUCACUCCAUGGUUUAAGUUUCUGUGGGAGACAUACAGGACGGUGCUCGAGAUACUGAGAAAUAAUUCAAAGCUUGAAGCGCUAUAUGCUAUGACUGCGCACAAAGCUUUUCAAUUUUGCAAACAGUAUAAAAGAGCCACUGAGUUCCGUAGGUUGUGUGAGAUCAUUAGAAACCAUCUUGCAAACUUGAACAAAUAUCGUGACCAGCGAGAUCGUCCUGAUCUGACUGCCCCUGAAACCUGUCAGCUCUAUCUUGAUACUAGGGUUGAACAACUGAAAAUUGCUACAGAACUUUCCCUAUGGCAGGAAGCCUUCCGAUCUGUGGAGGAUAUCCAUGGCUUGAUGAGCAUGGUUAAGAGGACUCCAAAACCAUCUGUCCUGGUUGUAUAUUAUGCCAAACUAACUGAAAUAUUCUGGAUAUCUGAGAGUCACUUGUAUCAUGCAUAUGCAUGGCUGAAGCUUUUCAACUUGCAGAAGAGCUUCAAUAAAAAAUUAACUCAGAAGGAUCUGCAACUACUAGCAUCUUCUGUUUUGCUCGCUGCACUUUCUGUUAAGCCAUAUGACCAUAAAUAUGGUGCAUCUCAUCUUGAGCUUGAAAAUGAAAAAGACCGUAGCUUGCGUAUGGCCAACCUUUUCAAUUUCAACUUCGACUCCAAGCGUGCGAAUAGAGAAAUGGUUUCUAGAGCAUCUCUUCUUUCGGAGUUGGCUGCCAAAGGUGUGAUUUCAUGUGCUUCCCAAGAAGUGAAAGAUCUAUACAACCUUAUGGAGCAUGAGUUCCUUCCUUUGGAUCUAGCAUCAAAAGUGCAGCCUCUGCUUUCCAAGAUUUCUACGAUCGGAGGAAAGCUUUCAGCCGCAUCUUCAGUUCCUGAAAUUCAGUUAUCACAGUACCAAUCUUCAUUGGAGAAGCUUACAACACUGAGGGUGCUGCAGCAGGCAUCUCAUAUUUUCAAGUCCAUGAAGAUUGACAUGCUCUCUAGAAUGAUCCCAUUCUUUGACAUCAAUGCCGUGGAGAAGAUGUCUGUUGAUGCGGUCAAGCAUAAUUUUGUUGCUAUGAAAGUUAACCAUUUGUCUGGAGCUGUUCAUUUUGGCAAAAUGGACAUAGAAUCUGAUGCACUUGGUAGUCACCUCUGUGUCUUCACUGAUUCCCUAAACAAAGCAAGGAGUCUCAUUCAUCCACCUGUGCAUAAACCAUCCAAACUCGGUGAAAACUUCAGUCUUGCUGGAGUGGUGGAGAAAGAACAUAAAAGGCUUCUUGCGAGGAAAUCAAUUAUUGAAAAGCGUAAAGAAGAUCUUGAGCGUCAAAUAUUGGAAAAGGAAAAAGUAGAGGAGUCAAAGAGAUUGAGUAUCCAGAAGAAAUCUGCAGACGAAGAAAGGGAGAGGCUUUUGAAGGACCAGAGACUUAGGCAGCAGCAGAGGAUCAGUCGAGAAAUAAAGGAAAAAGAUCGCCUGGAAGCAGAAAAAAUAAUAAAUGAUUUUAAAAAAAUAAUUAAGAACGGGGACAAAAUUCACGUUGAAGGGGAUAUGACAAAACAAUUCGCCAUGGAGGUGGUACGGAGUCAACGGGUGAAGGAGCUUGAAGAGAUGGAGAAAAAACUGCAGAAGCUUGCAAAGAAAAUGGAUCACUUGGAGAGGGCAAAACGGCAGGAGGAAGCACCACUGAUUGAGGAGGCCUUCCAAAAGCGCCUUGAGGAAGAAAAGAUCCUUCAUGAGCAAGAGCAGCUGAGAGAGAUUGAUCUCAGCAAGCAACACCACACGGGUGACUUGCAGGAGAAAACUAGGCUUUCUCGAUUGUUGCAGCAUAAGAAUGCUUUCCAGGAAAGAAUCGUCCAACGCCGUGAAGCUGAGUUUAGUAGCCUAAGGAAAGAGAGGGAAGAAAGGAUUAGUCAGUUGAUAUCUUCAAGAAAGCGUGAAAGGGAGACUGUACGGAAAUUGAUGUAUUAUCUGAACAUGGAGGAACAACGGAUCCAAAGGGUGCGUGAGGAAGAGGAGGCUAGAAAACGUGAAGAGGAAGAGAGGAAGAAGAGGGAGGAAGCGGAGAUGAAACUCAAGCUUGACGCCAUUGCAGCAAUUCAGAGGGAGAAGGAAAGGGAGGUGGAAGAGAAGAAGGAAAAAGAGAGAAGGGAGGCUCUCCUAAGAGCAGCGGACCCACCUGAUGCGCGGCCUGCUGCUGCCAUCGCACCACCAGCCGCUCCUGGUUCUAACAAGUUUGUCCCGCGGCACAGACGUGGCGGCGAGGGUAGCAGCCAGAGGACGGCUGUUGCACCUGAAGCAGCAGACCGUUGGGAUGCUCGCCAAGAGGCUCCUCAUGCACGGGAAGUGCGUCCCCUCCGCCAGGAUGCGCUCCUGCUCCCGGAAGCAGACCGCUGGAGCCGCCGUCCCCUCCGCCAAGAUGCUCCUCCCGCGCGCCAAGAAGCCCCCCCAUCCCGCCAGCCAGAUGGUGCUCCUCCAGCUGGUUCUACUACUGACCGCUGGCGUCCUGGUGGUGGAUCUAGGUCCUCUGCGAAUUCUUCAUCGGCUUCUUCGUCGACCGGCUGGAGGAAGAACUGA